Molecule: ribosomal RNA, 460 nt
Filed under: uncultured bacterium
Lineage: Bacteria
Description: partial 16S ribosomal RNA
Rfam family: Bacterial small subunit ribosomal RNA
Source: RNAcentral
CCUACGGGUGGCAGCAGUGAGGAAUAUUGGUCAAUGGACGAGAGUCUGAACCAGCCAAGUAGCGUGAAGGAUGACUGCCCUAUGGGUUGUAAACUUCUUUUAUAUGGGAAUAAAACGUUCCACGUGUGGGAUUUUGUAUGUACCAUAUGAAUAAGGAUCGGCUAACUCCGUGCCAGCAGCCGCGGUAAUACGGAGGUUCCGAGCGUUAUCCGGAUUUAUUGGGUUUAAAGGGUGCGUAGGUGGAUUGUUAAGUCAGUUGUGAAAGUUUGCGGCUCAACCGUAAAAUUGCAGUUGAAACUGGCAGUCUUGAGUACAGUAGAGGUGAGCGGAAUUCGUGGUGUAGCGGUGAAAUGCUUAGAUAUCACGAAGAACUCCGAUUGCGAAGGCAGUUCACUGGACUGCAACUGACACUGAGGCUCGAAAGUGUGGGUAUCAAACAGGAUUAGAUACCCUUGUAGUC